AGGGCACCACCAGAAGUGGAGCUUGCGGCUUAAUUUGACUCAACACGGGGAAACUCACCCAGGCAGGACAUUGUGAGGAUUGACAGAUUGAUAGCUCUUUCAUGAUUCAAUGGAUGGUGGUGCAUGGCCGUUCUUAGUUCGUGGAGCGAUUUGUCUGGUUUAUUCCGAUAACGAGCGAGACUCUGGCCUACUAACUAGUCCGAGCAUUGGCACUGUGCUCGCCGACUUCUUAGAGGGAUUCGUGGUGUUCAGCCACAAGAAAUUGAGCAAUAACAGGUCUGUGAUGCCCUUAGAUGUCCGGGGCUGCACGCGCGCUACACUGGCAUAAUCAGCGUGCUUGUCCUUCCCCGAAAGGGGUUGGUAAACCCUUGAAAAUGUGCCGUGAUUGGGAUCGGAAAUUGCAAUUAUUUUCCGUGAACGAGGAAUUCCAAGUAAGUGCGAGUCAUCAACUCGCGUUGAUUACGUCCCUGCCCUUUGUACACACCGCCCGUCGCUGCCCGGGACUGAGCCAUUUCGAGA
RNAcentral lists this ribosomal RNA (519 nucleotides) under uncultured eukaryote. RNAcentral's name for it is "SSU rRNA". It matches the Rfam family "Eukaryotic small subunit ribosomal RNA", at positions 1161 to 1704 of the family's 1831-position model. The record is from RNAcentral.